GCCUGUGAGUUCUAUGUGGCUGAGACAUCUGUCACCCUAUUGAUACCCAAAGUUGAUUCGGCUGAUGUGGCUGGCUAAAUGGGUGUUCCCCUCCUCCCUCGGGGCUCCAUCUGUGACCCUCCCACCCAAGCUUAGCAAUUAGUUGAAGAGCAGGACUGGUCUUCAGUCAAGGUUAUACGAGUAACUGUGCUCCUCUGCAAGAACCUCCAAACAAGCUCUCAGGCUAGACUCUUAUGUCAGACAGACAACCAAUGAUAGAAAUCUACAUGUGCAGGUCACAU
Unclassified non-coding RNA from Cricetulus griseus (Chinese hamster), 281 nucleotides. Its record names the gene 7SK. It matches the Rfam family "7SK RNA". Rfam says of the family: 7SK was discovered as an abundant small nuclear RNA in the mid-70s but a possible function has only recently been suggested. Two independent studies have found that 7SK RNA binds the CDK9/cyclin T complex (known as elongation factor P-TEFb). P-TEFb activates transcription by phosphorylating the C-terminal domain of RNA polymerase II. The record is from Ensembl. NCBI's taxonomy places the organism in Eukaryota, Metazoa, Chordata, Mammalia, Rodentia, Cricetidae.